This 254-nucleotide ribosomal RNA is filed under the name uncultured bacterium. RNAcentral describes it as "partial 16S ribosomal RNA". It matches the Rfam family "Bacterial small subunit ribosomal RNA", at positions 524 to 776 of the family's 1533-position model. The record is from RNAcentral.
CACGUAGGGUGCAAGCGUUGUCCGGAAUUAUUGGGCGUAAAGAGCUCGUAGGCGGUGUGUCGCGUCGGCCGUGAAAACUUGCAGCUUAACUGUGGGCGUGCGGUCGAUACGGGCAUCACUGGAGUUCGGCAGGGGAGACUGGAAUUCCUGGUGUAGCGGUGAAAUGCGCAGAUAUCAGGAGGAACACCGGUGGCGAAGGCGGGUCUCUGGGCCGAUACUGACGCUGAGGAGCGAAAGCGUGGGGAGCAAACAGG